ACGGAAGGCAGCAGUGGGGAAUAUUGCACAAUGGGCGAAAGCCUGGUGCAGCGACGCCGCGUGAGUGAAGAAGUAUCUCGGUAUGUAAAGCUCUAUCAGCAGGGAAGAAAAUGACGGUACCUGACUAAGAAGCCCCGGCUAACUACGUGCCAGCAGCCGCGGUAAUACGUAGGGGGCAAGCGUUAUCCGGAUUUACUGGGUGUAAAGGGAGCGUAGACGGUUUGGCAAGUCUGAAGUGAAAUGCGGGGGCUCAACUCCUGAACUGCUUUGGAAACUGUCGAACUAGAGUGCAGGAGAGGUAAGUGGAAUUCCUAGUGUAGCGGUGAAAUGCGUAGAUAUUAGGAGGAACACCAGUGGCGAAGGCGGCUUACUGGACUGUAACUGACGUUGAGGCUCGAAAGCGUGGGGAGCAAACAGGAUUAGAUACCCUGGUA
RNAcentral lists this ribosomal RNA (434 nucleotides) under uncultured Clostridium sp. RNAcentral describes it as "partial 16S ribosomal RNA". It matches the Rfam family "Bacterial small subunit ribosomal RNA", at positions 341 to 792 of the family's 1533-position model. Lineage: Bacteria; Bacillati; Bacillota; Clostridia; Eubacteriales; Clostridiaceae. RNAcentral also lists the same sequence under 1 other name. The record is from RNAcentral.